GUUCUCGAUGUUAGUUUAUGCUUGGGUAAUGGGCCAGAGAUUAGUUAUAGCCCAAUACAGUUGGAGGCUGAUGGUGAGUUGGCCACGACCUUUACACUCCCAGGCAUUGGGCCUGGAUAUUUUGGGCCUUGGGCUUCUCUAUAUUUUUAGCCUAGACUAAUUCUCCCCCAAUAGCUGUGAUUGGUAUGAUGGCUCUAAGCAUGGGAUGAGAGUACAGAAGCAAUAUGGGAUUGUCAAAGUUUAAAAAACUAGAAAUUAUGCCAAGUUUGAUCCUUUUAUAUUUUUUGAAACAGCAUAUCAAGUUUACUAUGCACCUUAUCCCGGAAAGCAAAAGGAU
This 337-nucleotide long non-coding RNA is filed under the name Elaeis guineensis (African oil palm). Its description in RNAcentral is "long non-coding RNA (EGUI_LNC012573)". The record is from RNAcentral. Lineage: Eukaryota; Viridiplantae; Streptophyta; Magnoliopsida; Arecales; Arecaceae.